GACGAACGCUGGCGGCGUGCCUAAUACAUGCAAGUCGAACGCUUCUUUCCUCCCGAGUGCUUGCACUCAAUUGGAAAGAGGAGUGGCGGACGGGUGAGUAACACGUGGGUAACCUACCCAUCAGAGGGGGAUAACACUUGGAAACAGGUGCUAAUACCGCAUAACAGUUUAUGCCGCAUGGCAUAAGAGUGAAAGGCGCUUUCGGGUGUCGCUGAUGGAUGGACCCGCGGUGCAUUAGCUAGUUGGUGAGGUAACGGCUCACCAAGGCCACGAUGCAUAGCCGACCUGAGAGGGUGAUCGGCCACACUGGGACUGAGACACGGCCCAGGCUCCUACGGGAGGCAGCAGUAGGGAAUCUUCGGCAAUGGACGAAAGUCUGACCGAGCAACGCCGCGUGAGUGAAGAAGGUUUUCGGAUCGUAAAACUCUGUUGUUAGAGAAGAACAAGGACGUUAGUAACUGAACGUCCCCUGACGGUAUCUAACCAGAAAGACACGGCUAACUACGUG
Molecule: ribosomal RNA, 508 nt
Filed under: uncultured bacterium
Lineage: Bacteria
Description: partial 16S ribosomal RNA
Rfam family: Bacterial small subunit ribosomal RNA
Source: RNAcentral